UACGUAGGGUGCAAGCGUUGUCCGGAAUUAUUGGGCGUAAAGAGCUCGUAGGCGGUCUGUCGCGUCGAGUGUGAAAACCCGGGGCUCAACCCUGGACCUGCAUUCGAUACGGGCAGACUAGAGUUCGGUAGGGGAGACUGGAAUUCCUGGUGUAGCGGUGAAAUGCGCAGAUAUCAGGAGGAACACCGGUGGCGAAGGCGGGUCUCUGGGCCGAAACUGACGCUGAGGAGCGAAAGCGUGGGGAGCAAACAGG
RNAcentral lists this ribosomal RNA (253 nucleotides) under uncultured bacterium. RNAcentral describes it as "partial 16S ribosomal RNA". It matches the Rfam family "Bacterial small subunit ribosomal RNA", at positions 524 to 776 of the family's 1533-position model. The record is from RNAcentral.